AUUGAACGCUGGCGGCAUGCCUUACACAUGCAAGUCGAACGGUAACAGGUUAAGCUGACGAGCGGCGAACGGGUGAGUAAUAUAUCGGAACGUGCCCAGUCGUGGGGGAUAACGUAGCGAAAGCUACGCUAAUACCGCAUACGAUCUACGGGUGAAAGCGGGGGAUCGCAAGACCUCGCGCGAUUGGAGCGGCCGAUAUCAGAUUAGGUUGUUGGUGAGGUAAAAGCUCACCAAGCCUGCGAUCUGUAGCUGGUCUGAGAGGACGACCAGCCACACUGGAACUGAGACACGGUCCAGACUCCUACGGGAGGCAGCAGUGGGGAAUUUUGGACAAUGGACGCAAGUCUGAUCCAGCAAUGCCGCGUGCAGGACGAAGGCCUUCGGGUUGUAAACUGCUUUUGUACGGAACGAAACGGUGAGCUCUAAUACGGUUUGCUAAUGACGGUACCGUAAGAAUAAGCACCGGCUAACUACGUGCCAGCCGCCGCCGUAA
This 493-nucleotide ribosomal RNA is filed under the name uncultured bacterium. Its description in RNAcentral is "partial 16S ribosomal RNA". It matches the Rfam family "Bacterial small subunit ribosomal RNA", at positions 30 to 523 of the family's 1533-position model. The record is from RNAcentral.